This 460-nucleotide ribosomal RNA is filed under the name uncultured bacterium. Its description in RNAcentral is "partial 16S ribosomal RNA". It matches the Rfam family "Bacterial small subunit ribosomal RNA", at positions 338 to 795 of the family's 1533-position model. The record is from RNAcentral.
CCUACGUGAGGCAGCAGUGAGGAAUAUUGGUCAAUGGACGAGAGUCUGAACCAGCCAAGUAGCGUGAAGGAUGACUGCCCUAUGGGUUGUAAACUUCUUUUAUAUGGGAAUAAAAUGUUCCACGUGUGGGAUUGUGUAUGUACCAUAAGAAAAAGGAUCGGCUAACUCCGUGCCAGCAGCCGCGGUAAAACGGAGGAUACGAGCGUUAUCCGGAUUGAUUGUGUGUAAAGGGUGCGUAGGUGGAUUGUUAAGUCAGGUGUGAAAGUUUGCGGGUCAACCGUAAAAUUGCAGUUGAAACUGGCAUUCUUGAGUACAGUAGAGGUGGGCGGAAGUCGUGGUGUAGCGGUGAAAUGCUUAGAUAUCACGAAGAACUCCGAUUGCGAAGGCAGCUCACUGGCCUGCAACUGACACUGAGGCUCGAAAGUGUGGGUAUCAAACAGGAUUAGAUACCCCAGUAGUC